GGGGUUGUGGCUUGGUGGUAGAGUGCUCACCUGGCAUGUGCGAAGCCCUGGGCUCGAUCCUCAGCACCACA
RNAcentral lists this transfer RNA (71 nucleotides) under Marmota monax (woodchuck). RNAcentral describes it as "tRNA.Ala". The record is from RNAcentral. Lineage: Eukaryota; Metazoa; Chordata; Mammalia; Rodentia; Sciuridae.